RNAcentral lists this small RNA (76 nucleotides) under Methylobacterium phyllostachyos. Its description in RNAcentral is "suhB". It matches the Rfam family "Makes More Granules Regulator RNA (mmgR)". From Rfam's summary of the family: SuhB later renamed mmgR (makes more granules regulator) was a putative non-coding RNA found multiple times in the Agrobacterium tumefaciens genome and related alpha-proteobacteria. The record is from RNAcentral. Lineage: Bacteria; Pseudomonadati; Pseudomonadota; Alphaproteobacteria; Hyphomicrobiales; Methylobacteriaceae.
CGCUGCUGCCCCUCGUGGGCGUUUCCUCCCUAGACUUCGGACCGCUCCUCGAGGGCGGUCUUUUUUUGUCCAACCG